Molecule: ribosomal RNA, 519 nt
Filed under: uncultured bacterium
Lineage: Bacteria
Description: bacterial SSU rRNA
Rfam family: Bacterial small subunit ribosomal RNA
Source: RNAcentral
AGAGUUGAUCCUGGCUCAGGAUGAACGCUAGCUACAGGCUUAACACAUGCAAGUCGAGGGGCAGCAUGUUGGUUGUUGCAACCGAUGAUGGCGACCGGCGCACGGGUGAGUAACGCGUAUCCAACCUCCCUAUAGUAGAGGAUAGCCCGGCGAAAGUCGGAUUAAUACUCUAUGUUGUUCAAUGCAGACAUCUAAGUUGAAUCAAAGGUUCACCGCUAUAGGAUGGGGAUGCGUCUGAUUAGGUAGUCGGCGGGGUAACGGCCCACCGAGCCAUCGAUCAGUAGGGGUUCUGAGAGGAAGGUCCCCCACAUUGGAACUGAGACACGGUCCAAACUCCUACGGGAGGCAGCAGUGAGGAAUAUUGGUCAAUGGGCGAGAGCCUGAACCAGCCAAGUAGCCGUGCAGGAUGACGGCCCUAUGGGUUGUAAACUGCUUUUAUACAGGGAUAAAGUCGGGGACGUGUCCCCGUUUGUAGGUACUGUAUGAAUAAGGACCGGCUAAUUCCGUGCCAGCAGCUGC